AGACGAAAGAGAAACGUUUUACGAAUUCGUAAUAAGAAAAAAGGAAAGGAAAGAAAGAAAAAAAGGAAGAAAAAAAAGUAGGAAGGAAUGAGAGAUAAAUGGAGAAUAUCUUAUCGAUGCUCAACAACAAAGUUAAAUUAUCGUUGACGCUAAAACGGAGAAAGUGCAUCUAAUAGCAAUUUGUCAAAGACUUUGUAUCCGCAAAAAAGGGAAGGAGGACUUCUCAUUAGAGAGACUCUUGACGUAAGCGUCUCGAUGUCCAGAUACUUGUUUCAAAGGAAGAGACCAGGCGGACGAGAAAUACUUCAAGAGUAAGUGAAGAGAGAGAGAGAGAGAGAGAGAGAGAGAAAGAGAGAAGAGGGUCAGUGGCAAUUAAGUGUGAGAGAGUAAGCCUCAAAGAUUUCAGGCGUGUUCCCUUUUGCUACGGUUCUCUGCUCACUGGGUCAAGUUCAACUCGACCGAAGGAGAAAGAGGAAGGAAAGGGAAUGAAAGGGAAUGAGAGGGAGCGAGAAGAUUCUCUCUACUUUGAAGGAGGCGUAGGACACGGAAGAGAGAAAGAGAGAGAGAUGGAAGUAACUGAGCCUCUUCUCCUGCUCCAUUCCCAAGUACCACCGAUCGAUGUUUCACCGAGAUAACAGGGUAUCUCACGCCGAAAGCGAAGGUUUGCAAAGCGUGCCCCGUUUGCUUCUCUCUCACACGGAGAAAGCAGAUUACCAUCGACCACAUUCCUGGGAAGAGGAUCGUGAUGUGCCGGCAGCACGUGCUCUCUUGCGCACCUCGUGCUGCUCGAUUUGCUCGACAAACAGCCUGCAUGAGAUAAAGAGAGACAUAUAUACAUAUACGGACACACAAACACACAUACAGAAAGAGAGAGAGAGAGAGAGAAUGGAACGAGAACAGGUGGGGUAGUCCCUCUCGCGUAUGCGUUUCGCGUAUAAACAACUCGAUGUGUAACGACCGGCACACCACCAGCAACAACACCACCAUCAGUAGCAGCAGCAGCAGCAAGCAGUAGCAGCAUCAGAAGCCAAUAGGUGUAUUUAAUCCUUUCGAAUAUACAUACCAUAUAUAUAUAUAUAUAUAUAAGCCCUCGAGCUAGAGUGUUAAGCAUUUAUUUAUACCUGAUUA
Long non-coding RNA from Polistes dominula (European paper wasp), 1128 nucleotides. NCBI's taxonomy places the organism in Eukaryota, Metazoa, Arthropoda, Insecta, Hymenoptera, Vespidae. The record is from RefSeq and is a predicted model, not a curated record.